CCUACGGGUGGCAGCAGUGAGGAAUAUUGGUCAAUGGACGAGAGUCUGAACCAGCCAAGUAGCGUGAAGGAUGACUGCCCUAUGGGUUGUAAACUUCUUUUAUAUGGGAAUAAAACGUUCCACGUGUGGGAUUUUGUAUGUACCAUAUGAAUAAGGAUCGGCUAACUCCGUGCCAGCAGCCGCGGUAAUACGGGGGAUCCGAGCGUUAUCCGGAUUUAUUGGGUUUAAAGGGAGCGUAGGUGGAUUGUUAAGUCAGUUGUGAAAGUUUGCGGCGCAACCGUAAAAUUGCAGUUGAAACUGGCAGUCUUGAGUACAGUAGAGGUGGGCGGAAUUCGUGGUGUAGCGGUGAAAUGCUUAGAUAUCACGAAGAACUCCGAUUGCGAAGGCAGUUCACUGGACUGCAACUGACACUGAGGCUCGAAAGUGUGGGUAUCAAACAGGAUUAGAUACCCCAGUAGUC
RNAcentral lists this ribosomal RNA (460 nucleotides) under uncultured bacterium. Its description in RNAcentral is "partial 16S ribosomal RNA". It matches the Rfam family "Bacterial small subunit ribosomal RNA", at positions 338 to 795 of the family's 1533-position model. The record is from RNAcentral.